AGCAGUACCAAAAUCAGCCUUACUGUUUACGAGUAGAAUCAGAUAUCAAAGUUCUUUGAAAACUUGAAUCCGAUGGGAAAUAGCAUGGAGAAGGAAUUUACAGAUUAUCUUUUCAACAAAUCCCUAGAAAUAGAACCACGAAACCCUAAGCCUCUCCCAAGAUUUCCAAAAAAAUAUAGCUAUCCCCUAAAAUCUCCUGGUGUUCGUCCAUCAAACCCAAGACCAGGUACCAUGAGGCAUCCCACACCUCUGCAGCAGGAGCCAAGGAAAAUUAGUUAUAGUAGGAUCCCUGAAAGUGAAACAGAAAGUACAGCAUCUGCACCAAAUUCUCCAAGAACACCGUUAACACCUCCGCCUGCUUCUGGUGCUUCCAGUACCACAGAUGUUUGCAGUGUAUUUGAUUCCGAUCAUUCGAGCCCUUUUCACUCAAGCAAUGAUACCGUCUUUAUCCAAGUUACUCUGCCCCAUGGCCCAAGAUCUGCUUCUGUAUCAUCUAUAAGUUUAACCAAAGGCACUGAUGAAGUGCCUGUCCCUCCUCCUGUUCCUCCACGAAGACGACCAGAAUCUGCCCCAGCAGAAUCUUCACCAUCUAAGAUUAUGUCUAAGCAUUUGGACAGUCCCCCAGCCAUUCCUCCUAGGCAACCCACAUCAAAAGCCUAUUCACCACGAUAUUCAAUAUCAGACCGGACCUCUAUCUCAGACCCUCCUGAAAGCCCUCCCUUAUUACCACCACGAGAACCUGUGAGGACACCUGAUGUUUUCUCAAGCUCACCACUACAUCUCCAACCUCCCCCUUUGGGCAAAAAAAGUGACCAUGGCAAUGCCUUCUUCCCAAACAGCCCUUCCCCCUUUACACCACCUCCUCCUCAAACACCUUCUCCUCACGGCACAAGAAGGCAUCUGCCAUCACCACCAUUGACACAAGAAGUGGACCUUCAUUCCAUUGCUGGGCCGCCUGUUCCUCCACGACAAAGCACUUCUCAACAUAUCCCUAAACUCCCUCCAAAAACUUACAAAAGGGAGCACACACACCCAUCCAUGCACAGAGAUGGACCACCACUGUUGGAGAAUGCCCAUUCUUCCUGAGUUCCUCUGUACUGGGAUGUAUAUUUUCCUAGCCCCAAAUCCAUUGCUGGCAAUGGAUGCACUGAAUGUGCCAGCACUGAGGAGUUAAAAUGAGAACUCCAAACACUAACGACUCUUCUUCAAGAUGCAGUAUAAGACAAUGAAUUUUAACCUAGAUGUAAUUAUACAAUGGAAAUGGUAUUCCAGUUUAGAAUAUGGAAAGACCGACCUAGAGGAAUUGGACAACUGAUUGCACCUGAAAAUCAUAAAGGGACUUUUUCUGGCCAAUAGGCAGGAGUCCUCUUUUUGUGAAGUGAUCUUUUGUGAAGUGAUCAUUAAAGGGAUGGAAAACACAGUCUAGUGUCCAGCAGGCCCACAUGACAGUUUUUGUAAUUCAAAUUAUGCACUUUU
This 1476-nucleotide long non-coding RNA is filed under the name Homo sapiens (human). RNAcentral describes it as "long non-coding RNA NONHSAT184512.1". The record is from RNAcentral. Lineage: Eukaryota; Metazoa; Chordata; Mammalia; Primates; Hominidae.